RNAcentral lists this ribosomal RNA (253 nucleotides) under uncultured bacterium. RNAcentral's name for it is "partial 16S ribosomal RNA". It matches the Rfam family "Bacterial small subunit ribosomal RNA", at positions 524 to 776 of the family's 1533-position model. The record is from RNAcentral.
UACAGAGGUGGCAAGCGUUGUUCGGAAUUACUGGGCGUAAAGGGCGCGUAGGCGGUCAGGUCAGUCCCGUGUGAAAUCCCUCGGCUCAACUGAGGAACUGCACGGGAAACUACCUGGCUUGAGUUCGGGAGAGGGAAGCGGAAUUCCGGGUGUAGCGGUGAAAUGCGUAGAGCUCGGGAAGAACAUCGGUGGCGAAAGCGCUCUACUGGACUGCAACUGACACUGAGGGACGAAAGCUAGGGGAGCGAAUGGG